CCGCGGCCGCGCGGGUCCCGCUCGGCUCCCCCGCUCCCUCCGAGCAGCAGGAGCGGGGACGAACCUCCCCAGACCAUGUGCAGCCCUCAGAGAACAGCGAUCCCUGCCUGAGCCUCGAGCCCAUCCGGCGGCCAGGCAGAGGGUGACGGUCCCCACGACGACGCCCCGGCCUCGACAGCCCUGCAGCGGUCUCAUCAGCGGGAAGCCGAUGCCCCAGGGGUUGCAUUUAAGUGGCUGGGCCGGCCGGAGCGGCCCGACCCCGGGGGCUGCCUGCCCCAGGCCUCUCCCUCGCUUCUCUCCCUCCUCCUCCUCCCGCUCCCGUUCCCGCCGCGGCGCCGGGGCUGCUCCCAGCUUCCCCCCGCAGCGGCCCCCGGGCGCUCCCCCGCCUCACACCCCGCGAUCCUCCGAUCCGCGCUGGAGAUGCAAUUGGCUGAGGAAGGCAAGGCGCUUCCCGGCCGCCGGCCAUCGCCCAGCCGGGAAAUGAGCGCGAUGGGCGGCCGCGGAGCCGCGCAGCUCUGCCCGGCCCGGCCGAUGCCCGGCCGGAGCCUGGAGCCGGGAGCCGAGCCCGGGAUCGGGACAUCUGGCCGAGGAGGCUGGUUUUAAUUGUGAUUUGGCAAGGGAAAUUUCACUUCGGGGUGUUAAAACUGACUUUUUUUGCUCCAAGAAGUCUGGUGAUGUUGCAGGUGAGAAGGGGGAUGGGGAGGAGGGUUGGACAGCAGCAUCUCUGUAUCCCCAGAUAUCAUCUCAGAUGACCACGCUGGAAAAUGAACCCGGUUCCCAUCCCACUGUACCCAACACAUGCACUAGGUGCUCCUCUCUCCCUUCUAUUGUCGUCCAGAGGAGGUCCCCAGCAAUGCUUGUACUUCUUUCAGAAAGCACUGGACAGUAUGAGAUAGCAGGAAACAUGAUUAGAAAACGUGAGUCUCCCAAUCCUGAAAAUCCAUCCUUGCACAGAGGCAUCCUUGUGUAUGGCUACCAGAAGCCAUAUACACCCCCAGGAGAGCUGCCCCUCUGACCAGGGAAAGAGUUACACACCAGAUGAGCCCUUUUGCAGAUUUUCCAUUCUCUUUCUUGUGUUUCCCUCUCCUCAAGUUUUCUUUAGCAGAGUGUGGAUUAAAGAGAGGCAUUUCAGUGUUCUGGUCAGCACAGGCUCCUCAGGGUGAGUGGGAGGAAAGGGCAAUCACCCAGGCAAUGAGGGACAGCUGGGAUCUGCCAGAGCCACCUGCGCUGAGCAGCCACUCUCCCACUGCACUGUAUGGAAUAAUGUGGGUUUCCUUACAUACUGGCUGGCUGUGAGGAGAACAGGGGGGUUCCACGGGGGUCUGGGUAGCUGAAGCACAGCUCUGGGCAGGGAGGGUGAGCAGGAGUGAGGCUUGCGCAGGGUCAGCUGCAGGGGAUCUGCUCUUGCUGGGGCUUUCCAACCAAGGGUGAUGCUCUCAUGUGGUGCCAUGCUCUAUAUAUAUGGCAUUACAGCUUCUUUUGUGCACAUCUCAGAGGGGACUUCUAGGACUUAAGGCAGGCGUUGACAAGAGGCAGUGCAAUCUGCAUGGGCUCCAGGGCCCAGAUUUUGUUCAAGUGCAAAAAAAUCCCCAGCUUCCCCAACCUCUGGUGCAUCUUUUGAAGCUUCAGUGAUGAUACUCAGAUGAAGGGGCAAGGGAAGAGAGGUCAGUGAGGACAUACUGCCCAAAUGUUUGAUCCCACGUAGGUUUUGUCGCCUGCCAUGGCUCCGGGGUUGUCUGAAAGUGUGUUUGUACUCGAUCUGCAGAGGCAGGCCAUGAAGUGCUUCCCUUCCACCUCAUCUAUCUGAGCUGCUUCUGUGCUUUGCCAAAUCCCCUCUGCUGCAUCAGGCCAACAUUGUGCCUGGGGGUCCCUGCUGAAAAUGUAAUUGCAUGAAAAAGUGUGCAGCGCUUCCCCUGGGAGAGAUUCCAUCAGACAAAGUUUCUUCCUGAUCCCAUCACCUCAUGGCAGUUUUAUUCCUCAAAGCAUUAAAGAAGGUCUCAUGGUGAUGUGA
Molecule: long non-coding RNA, 2011 nt
Organism: Corvus hawaiiensis (hawaiian crow)
Lineage: Eukaryota; Metazoa; Chordata; Aves; Passeriformes; Corvidae
Exons: 2
Source: RefSeq, a predicted model, not a curated record